RNAcentral lists this ribosomal RNA (459 nucleotides) under uncultured bacterium. Its description in RNAcentral is "partial 16S ribosomal RNA". It matches the Rfam family "Bacterial small subunit ribosomal RNA", at positions 338 to 795 of the family's 1533-position model. The record is from RNAcentral.
CCUACGGGAGGCAGCAGUGAGGAAUAUUGGUCAAUGGGCGGGAGCCUGAACCAGCCAAGCCGCGUGAGGGAAGAAGGUACAGCGUAUCGUAAACCUCUUUUGUCAGGGAACAAAGGCGGGGACUAGUCCCCGGAUGAGGGUACCUGAAGACAAAGCAUCGGCUAACUCCGUGCCAGCAGCCGCGGUAAUACGGAGGAUGCGAGCGUUAUCCGGAUUUAUUGGGUUUAAGGGGUGCGCAGGCGGCCUGUUAAGUCAGCGGGAAAAGCCCGGGGCUCAACCCCGGCGAGCCGUUGAAACUGGCGGGCUGGAGUUGGAGAGAAGGACGCGGAAUGCGCGGUGUAGCGGUGAAAUGCUUAGAUAUCGCGCAGAACCCCGAUUGCGAAGGCAGCGUACCGGCUCCACACUGACGCUGAGGCACGAAAGCGUGGGUAUCGAACAGGAUUAGAUACCCGUGUAGUC